RNAcentral lists this long non-coding RNA (518 nucleotides) under Trifolium pratense (red clover). RNAcentral describes it as "long non-coding RNA (TPRA_LNC011281)". Lineage: Eukaryota; Viridiplantae; Streptophyta; Magnoliopsida; Fabales; Fabaceae. The record is from RNAcentral.
GAUUAAUGCAGAUGCUUCUUUAAGUUUGAUGUAUUUUAUAGGGUGGUAUCUGGUCUUGGUUUUGAACAUGAUAGUAGUGUUGUUUUCAAUUGGCAAAUGCAAGUUAUGUAGGCUGGUUUUGAGCAUGCUAUAGUAGUGUUCUUGAGGAUCUUGAAAUACUUCAAUUGAUAUCAUGUCUUGAUGCAUGCUUUGAUUAUAAUAGAAUGAUGUAUUUUAUUGAUGUAUUUUUAAGCUCAGAUUAUCAUGAUAACAUUUUAAAUUAAUUAGAAGAUUACCAACUAAUUAUUUGCUAUAGUGGCAUCUUAAAUUACUUAUGCAGGCAGCAUCGUUUGAGAGUUGAGACAUAUAUCCUUCUCUAAUCUCUUUGUUGUUUCCCCUGUUUUCAUUGAACUUUUUAUUCUAUUAAUAUUUGAUAAGAAAUUUCUUUUUGGACUUGUUUAAGUUAGCAUUUAUACUAAUGUCUUUUUGAAAUUGUUUCAGAGUGCUGUAUAAACAAGUAUAACUAGAAGAAUAUGAAA